Molecule: long non-coding RNA, 3337 nt
Organism: Zonotrichia albicollis (white-throated sparrow)
Lineage: Eukaryota; Metazoa; Chordata; Aves; Passeriformes; Passerellidae
Source: Ensembl
UCUCAGGUGUGUCCCAGGUGUCCCUGACUUGUCCAGGUGUGUCCCAGGUGUCUCUCAGGUGUGUCCCAGGUGUCCCUGACUUGUCCAGGUGUGUCUGAGGUGUCCCCAGGUGUGUCCCAGGUGUCCCUCACCUGCCCAGGUGUGUCCCUCACCUGAAGGGGUAGCCGUACGCCGCCGUCACGUUGGUCACCUAUGUCCCGUUGUCCCCAGGUGUGUCCCUCACCUGUCCCACCCCUCUCACCUGUCCCAGGUGUGUCCCCAGGUGUGUCCCUCACCUGAAGGGAUAUCCAUACGCCGCCGUCACAUUCGUCACCUGUGUCCCGUUGUCCCCAGGUGUGUCCCUCACCUGUCCCACCUGUCUCACCUAUCUCACGUGUGUCCCUCACCUGUGUCACCUGUCCCAGGUGUCUCCCAGGUGUAUCUGGGAUGGCCCUCACCCAUCCCACGUGUCCCCAGGUGUGUCCCUCACCUGUCCCACCCAUCUCACCUUUCCAGGUAUGUCCCAGGUGUGUCCCCAGGUGUCUCUCAGGUGUCCCCAGGUGUGUCUCACCUAUCUCAGGUGUGUCCCUCACCUGUCCAGGUGUGUCCCAGGUGUCCUCAGGUGUGUCCCUCACCUGUCUCAUCUGUCCCAAAUGUCCCCAGGUGUAUCUGACGUGUCCCUGGAUCUGUCCCAGUUGUCCCCAGUGUCCCUCACCUGUCCAGGUGUGUCCCCAGGUGUCUCUCAGGUGUGUCCCAGGCGUGUCCCUCACCUGUCUCACCUAUCCCAGGUGUCCCCAACAUGUCCAGGUGUAUCUGAGGUGUCCCCAGGUGUCCCAGUGUCCCUCACCUGUCCAGGUGUGUCCCCAGGUGUGUCCCAGGUGAUGUCACCUGCCCCAGGUGUGUCCCCACAUGUCCCUCACCUGUCCAGGUGUGUCCCCAGGUGUCUCUCAGGUGUGUCGCAGGCGUGUCCCUCACCUGUCUCACCUAUCCCAGGUGUCCCCAUGUGUCCCUCACCUGUCCAGGUGUGUCCCAGGUGUAUCUGAGAUGUCCCUCACCCAUCCCACCUGUCCCCAGGUGUCCCAGUGUCCCUCACCUGUCCCCACCUGUCCCAGGUGUGUCCCUCACCUGAAGGGAUAUCCAUACGCCGCUGUCACAUUGGUCACCUGUGUGCCGUUGUCCCCGCCCGCGCAGGUGUGUCCCUCAUGUCCCCAGGUGAUGUCACCUGUCCCAGGUGUGUCCCCAGGUGUCCCCAGGUGUGUCCCCAGGUGUCUCUCAGGUGUCCCCAGGUGUGUCUCACCUAUCUCAGGUGUGUCCCUCACCUGUCCAGGUGUAUCUGAAGUGUCCCCAGGUGUGUCCCCAGGUGUCCCCAGGUGUGUCAGAGAUGUCCCCAGGUGUGUCCCCACCUGUCCCAGCUGUCCCCCCUCACCUGAAGGGAUAUCCGUAGGCCGCCGUCACGUUGGUCACCUGUGUCGCGUUGUCCCCAUGUGUGUCCCUCACCUGUCCCACCCCUCUCACCUGUCCCAGGUGUGUCCCCAGGUGUGUCAGAGAUGUCCCCAGGUGUGUCAGAGAUGUCCCCAGCUGUCCCCCCUCACCUGAAGGGAUAUCCAUACGCCGCCGUCACAUUCGUCACCUGUGUCCCGUUGUCCCCAGGUGUGUCCCACAUGUCCCAGUGUCCCUCACCUGUCCCCAGGUGUGUCCCCAGGUGUCACCUGUCCCCAGGUGUGUCCCUCACCUGAAGGGAUAUCCAUACGCCGCUGUCACAUUGGUCACCUGUGUCCCGUUGUCCCCAGGUGUGUCCCACGUGUCCCCAGUGUCCCUCACAUGUCCCCAGGUGAUGUCACCUGUCCCAGAUGUCCCCAGGUGUCCCCAGGUGUGUCCCCAGAUGUCCCCAGCUGUCCCCCCUCACCUGAAGGGAUAUCCAUACGCCGCCGUCAUGAUGUGACGUCACAUUGGUCACCUGUGUCCUGUUGUCCCCAGGUGUGUCCCUCACCUGUCCAGGUGUGUCCCAGGUGUAUCUGAGGUGUCCCUCACCCAUCCCACGUGUCCCCAGGUGUGUCCCAGGUGAUGUCACCUGUCCAGGUGUGUCCCCCCCUCACCUGAAGGGAUAUCCAUACGCCGCUGUCACGUUGGUCACCUGUGUCCCGUUGUCCCCAGGUGUGUCCCACAUGUCCCAGUGUCCCUCACCUGUCCCAGGUGUGUCCCAAGUGUGUCCCUCACCUGUCCAGGUGUGUCCCCCAGGUGUCACCUGUCCAGGUGUGUCCCCCCCUCACCUGAAGGGAUAUCCAUACGCCGCCGUCACAUUGGUCACCUGUGUCCCGUUGUCCCCAGGUGUGUCCCACGUGUCCCCAGUGUCCCUCACAUGUCCCCAGGUGAUGUCACCUGUCCCCACCUGUCCCCAGGUGAUUCCCCAGGUGUGUCCCUGACCUGUCCAGGUGUGUCCCCCAGGUGAUGUCACCUGUCCCAGGUGUGUCCCCAGGUGUGUCCCCAGGUGUGUCCCAGUGUCCCCACCUGUCCCAGGUGUGUCCCUCACCUGAAGGGAUAUCCAUACGCCGCCGUCACAUUGGUCACCUGUGUCCCGUUGUCCCCAGGUGUGUCCCCAGGUGUCGCAGUGUCCCCAGGUGAUGUCACCUGUCCCCAGGUGUCCCCAGAUGUCCCCAGGUGUGUCCCCCCCUCACCUGAAGGGGCAGCCGUAGGCCGCCGUCACGUUGGUCACCUGUGUCCCGUUGUCCCCAGGUGUGUCCCACAUGUCCCCAGGUGAUGUCACCUGUCCCAGGUGUGUCCCCAGGUGUCCCCAGGUGAUGUCACCUGUCCCAGGUGUCCCCAGGUGUCGCAGUGUCCCUCACCUGUCCCCAGGUGUGUCCCCAGAUGUCCCCCAGGUGUCCCCAGGUGAUGUCACCUGUCCAGGUGUGUCCCCAGGUGUGUCCCACAUGUCCCCAGGUGAUGUCACCUGUCCAGGUGUGUCCCCCAGGUGAUGUCACCUGUCCCCAGGUGUGUCCCCAGGUGUGUCCCUCACCUGAAGGGAUAUCCAUACGCCGCCGUCAUGUUGGUAACCUGUGUCCCGUUGUCCCCAAGUGUCCCUCACCUGUCUCACCUGUCCCCAGGUGUGUCCCCCAGGUGUCACCUGUCCCAGGUGUCCCCAGGUGUGUCCCUCACCUGAAGGGAUAUCCAUACGCCGCCGUCACGUUGGUCACCUGUGUCCCGUUGUCCCCGCCCCCGCAGGUGACCCUGAAGGUGACGGAGCCCUCGAAGCCCCCGCAGGUGGCGAAAGCGAAGAUGGAGAAAAACUGGGGGGAAAAACGGCAAAUUUGGGCAAAAUCAGAAAAAUAAAUGGGGAAAAAAACCAAAUUUGAGAAAAUUU